RNAcentral lists this ribosomal RNA (544 nucleotides) under uncultured bacterium. RNAcentral describes it as "bacterial SSU rRNA". It matches the Rfam family "Bacterial small subunit ribosomal RNA", at positions 358 to 916 of the family's 1533-position model. The record is from RNAcentral.
GGAAUUUUCCGCAAUGGGCGAAAGCCUGACGGAGCAACGCCGCGUGAGGGAUGAAGGCCUCUGGGCUGUAAACCUCUUUUCUCAAGGAAGAAGAUCUGACGGUACUUGAGGAAUAAGCCACGGCUAAUUCCGUGCCAGCAGCCGCGGUAAUACGGGAGUGGCAAGCGUUAUCCGGAAUUAUUGGGCGUAAAGCGUCCGCAGGCGGCCUUUUAAGUCUGCUGUCAAAACGUGGAGCUUAACUCCAUACCGGCAGUGGAAACUGGAAGGCUUGAGUGUGGUAGGGGCAGAGGGAAUUCCCGGUGUAGCGGUGAAAUGCGUAGAUAUCGGGAAGAACACCAGUGGCGAAGGCGCUCUGCUGGGCCAUAACUGACGCUCAUGGACGAAAGCCAGGGGAGCGAAAGGGAUUAGAUACCCCUGUAGUCCUGGCCGUAAACGAUGAACACUAGGUGUCGGGGGAAUCGACCCCCUCGGUGUCGUAGCCAACGCGUUAAGUGUUCCGCCUGGGGAGUACGCACGCAAGUGUGAAACUCAAAUGAAUUGACGG